CCUACGGGUGACAGCAGUGAGGAAUAUUGGUCAAUGGACGAGAGUCUGAACCAGCCAAGUAGCGUGAAGGAUGACUGCCCUAUGGGUUGUAAACUUCUUUUAUAUGGGAAUAAAACGUUCCACGUGUGGGAUUUUGUAUGUACCAUAUGAAUAAGGAUCGGCUAACUCCGUGCCAGCAGCCGCGGUAAUACCGAGGAUCCGAGCGUUAUCCGGAUUUAUUGGGUUUAAAGGGAGCGUAGGUGGAUUGUUAAGUCAGUUGUGAAAGUUUGCGGCUCAACCGUAAAAUUGCAGUUGAAACUGGCAGUCUUGAGUACAGUAGAGGUGGGCGGAAUUCGUGGUGUAGCGGUGAAAUGCUUAGAUAUCACGAAGAACUCCGAUUGCGAAGGCAGUUCACUGGACUGCAACUGACACUGAGGCUCGAAAGUGUGGGUAUCAAACAGGAUUAGAUACCCUUGUAGUC
Molecule: ribosomal RNA, 460 nt
Filed under: uncultured bacterium
Lineage: Bacteria
Description: partial 16S ribosomal RNA
Rfam family: Bacterial small subunit ribosomal RNA
Source: RNAcentral